RNAcentral lists this ribosomal RNA (433 nucleotides) under uncultured bacterium. RNAcentral's name for it is "partial 16S ribosomal RNA". It matches the Rfam family "Bacterial small subunit ribosomal RNA", at positions 29 to 507 of the family's 1533-position model. The record is from RNAcentral.
AACGAACGCUGGCGGCAUGCCUAACACAUGCAAGUCGAACGAGACCUUCGGGUCUAGUGGCGCACGGGUGCGUAACGCGUGGGAACCUGCCCUUAGGUUCGGAAUAACUCCCCGAAAGGGGUGCUAAUACCGGCUCAUGUCUUCGGACCAACGAUUUAUCGCCUUUGGAUGGGCCCGCGUUGGAUUAGCUAGUUGGUAGGGUAAAAGCCUACCAAGGCCACGAUCCAUAGCUGGUCUGAGAGGAUGAUCAGCCACACUGGGACUGAGACACGGCCCAGACACCUACGGCAGGCAGCAGUGCCGAAUAUUGCCCGCUGGGCGAGAUCCUUGGCCAGCAAUGCCGCGUGAGUGGUGAAGGCCUGAUGGUUGUAGAGCUCGUGUACCCGUGAUCAUCAUGACAGUAUCGGGGGAAUAAUCCCCGGCUAACCCCGUG